Molecule: transfer RNA, 72 nt
Filed under: Triticum aestivum (bread wheat)
Lineage: Eukaryota; Viridiplantae; Streptophyta; Magnoliopsida; Poales; Poaceae
Rfam family: tRNA
About the family: Transfer RNA (tRNA) molecules are approximately 80 nucleotides in length. Their secondary structure includes four short double-helical elements and three loops (D, anti-codon, and T loops). Further hydrogen bonds mediate the characteristic L-shaped molecular structure. tRNAs have two regions of fundamental functional importance: the anti-codon, which is responsible for specific mRNA codon recognition, and the 3' end, to which the tRNAs corresponding amino acid is attached (by aminoacyl-tRNA synthetases). tRNAs cope with the degeneracy of the genetic code in two manners: having more than one tRNA (with a specific anti-codon) for a particular amino acid; and 'wobble' base-pairing, i.e. permitting non-standard base-pairing at the 3rd anti-codon position.
Source: Rfam by way of RNAcentral
GUGGCUUUAGUAUAGUGGUGAGAAUUCCACGUUGUGGCCGUGUAGACCUGGGCUCAAAUCCCAGCAGCCACA